GCAUUGGUGGUUCACUGGUAGAAUUCUCGCCUGCCACGCGGGUCACACGGGUCCGAUUCCUGGCCAAUGCA
Molecule: transfer RNA, 71 nt
Filed under: Danio rerio (zebrafish)
Lineage: Eukaryota; Metazoa; Chordata; Actinopteri; Cypriniformes; Danionidae
Rfam family: tRNA
About the family: Transfer RNA (tRNA) molecules are approximately 80 nucleotides in length. Their secondary structure includes four short double-helical elements and three loops (D, anti-codon, and T loops). Further hydrogen bonds mediate the characteristic L-shaped molecular structure. tRNAs have two regions of fundamental functional importance: the anti-codon, which is responsible for specific mRNA codon recognition, and the 3' end, to which the tRNAs corresponding amino acid is attached (by aminoacyl-tRNA synthetases). tRNAs cope with the degeneracy of the genetic code in two manners: having more than one tRNA (with a specific anti-codon) for a particular amino acid; and 'wobble' base-pairing, i.e. permitting non-standard base-pairing at the 3rd anti-codon position.
Source: Rfam by way of RNAcentral